This 148-nucleotide signal recognition particle RNA is filed under the name Gorilla gorilla gorilla (western lowland gorilla). RNAcentral describes it as "Metazoan signal recognition particle RNA". It matches the Rfam family "Metazoan signal recognition particle RNA". Rfam says of the family: The signal recognition particle (SRP) is a universally conserved ribonucleoprotein. It is involved in the co-translational targeting of proteins to membranes. The record is from Rfam by way of RNAcentral. Lineage: Eukaryota; Metazoa; Chordata; Mammalia; Primates; Hominidae.
GCUAGACGUGGUGGCGUGUGCCUGUAGUCCCUGCUACUUGGGAGGCUGAAGUGGGAGGAUUGCUUGAGCCCAGGAGGUCAAGGCUGCAGUGAGCUAUGAUUGGGCCACUGCAGUCCAGCCUGGGCAACAGAGCAAGACCCUGUCUCAA